UUCCGUAGGUGAACCUGCGGAGGGAUCAUUACCAGAGUGCCCUAGGCUCUCCAACCCAUUGUGAACUUACCAAACGUUCCCUCGGCGGGCUCAGCGCGCGGUGGCCUCCGGGCCUCCGGGCGUCCGCCGGGGAAAACCAAACCCUGAUUUAAUCGUAUUUCUCUGAGGGGCGAAAGCCCGAAAACAAAAUGAAUCAAAACUUUCAACAACGGAUCUCUUGGCUCUGGCAUCGAUGAAGAACGCAGCGAAAUGCGAUAAGUAAUGUGAAUUGCAGAAUUCAGUGAAUCAUCGAAUCUUUGAACGCACAUUGCGCCCGCCGGCACUCCGGCGGGCAUGCCUGUCCGAGCGUCAUUUCAACCCUCAGGCCCACCCUUCCGGGGGAGCGGGCCUGGUGCUGGGGAUCGGCGGCCCUCGCGGCCCCCGUCCCUCAAAUACAGUGGCGGUCGCGCCGCAGCCUCCCCUGCGUAGUAGCACAACCUCGCACCGGAGAGCGGAACGACCACGCCGUGAAACCCCCAAUUUWKUAAGGUUGACCUCGGAUCAGGUAGGAAUACCCGCUGAACUUAAGCAUAUCAAUAAGCCGGAGGAA
This 589-nucleotide ribosomal RNA is filed under the name Colletotrichum graminicola. Its description in RNAcentral is "eukaryotic LSU rRNA". The stretch from base 198 to 351 matches the Rfam family "5.8S ribosomal RNA". The record is from RNAcentral. Lineage: Eukaryota; Fungi; Ascomycota; Sordariomycetes; Glomerellales; Glomerellaceae.